CGCCUGUUUAUCAAAAACAUGGCUUUUUGUGAAUUGUUUAAGGUUUGGCCUGCUCCAUGAUUAUUAAAUAGCCGCAGUAUUUUGACUGUGCAAAGGUAGCAUAAUCAUUAGUUUCUUAAUUGGAAGCUGGAAUGAAUGGUCGGAUGAGGAAAUAACUGUCUCAUUUUAAUUUAUAUUGAAUUUUAUUUUUGAGUUAAAAAGCUUAAAUGGUAUAAAAAGACGAGAAGACCCUAUAGAGUUUAAUAGAAUUAGAUAUAGAAAAAUUUAGGUUUUAAGUUUUUAGUAUUGAUUUCUAUUUGGUUGGGGUGACACAGAAUUGAAUUAAACUUCUUUAUAUUUAUACAUUGAUUAAUGAUUAUAUGAUCCUUUAUUUAAGAUUAAAAGACAAAAUUACCUUAGGGAUAACAGCGUUAUCCUUUCAGAGAGUUCUAAUCGAUGAAAGGGGUUGCGACCUCGAUGUUGGAUUAAAGUUUAUUUAUGGUGCAGAAGCUAUAAAAUUAAGUCUGUUCGACUUUUGAAACUUUACGUGAUCUGAGUUUAGACCGG
This 546-nucleotide ribosomal RNA is filed under the name Hycleus dentatus. RNAcentral describes it as "partial 16S ribosomal RNA". It matches the Rfam family "Archaeal large subunit ribosomal RNA", at positions 1889 to 2688 of the family's 2987-position model. Lineage: Eukaryota; Metazoa; Arthropoda; Insecta; Coleoptera; Meloidae. The record is from RNAcentral.